RNAcentral lists this transfer RNA (71 nucleotides) under Bos taurus (domestic cattle). It matches the Rfam family "tRNA". Rfam says of the family: Transfer RNA (tRNA) molecules are approximately 80 nucleotides in length. Their secondary structure includes four short double-helical elements and three loops (D, anti-codon, and T loops). The record is from Rfam by way of RNAcentral. RNAcentral also lists the same sequence under 2 other names. Lineage: Eukaryota; Metazoa; Chordata; Mammalia; Artiodactyla; Bovidae.
UCCCUGCUGGCUCAGACAGUAAAGAAUCUGCCUGCAAUGCAGAGACCCAGGUUUGAUCCCUGGGUCGGGAA